This 1444-nucleotide ribosomal RNA is filed under the name uncultured organism. Its description in RNAcentral is "16S ribosomal RNA". It matches the Rfam family "Bacterial small subunit ribosomal RNA". The record is from RNAcentral.
AUUGAACGCUGGCGGCAGGCCUAACACAUGCAAGUCGAACGGUAACAGGAAGAAGCUUGCUUCUUUGCUGACGAGUGGCGGACGGGUGAGUAAUGUCUGGGAAACUGCCUGAUGGAGGGGGAUAACUACUGGAAACGGUAGCUAAUACCGCAUAACGUCGCAAGACCAAAGAGGGGGACCUUCGGGCCUCUUGCCAUCGGAUGUGCCCAGAUGGGAUUAGCUAGUAGGUGGGGUAAAGGCUCACCUAGGCGACGAUCCCUAGCUGGUCUGAGAGGAUGACCAGCCACACUGGAACUGAGACACGGUCCAGACUCCUACGGGAGGCAGCAGUGGGGAAUAUUGCACAAUGGGCGCAAGCCUGAUGCAGCCAUGCCGCGUGUAUGAAGAAGGCCUUCGGGUUGUAAAGUACUUUCAGCGGGGAGGAAGGGAGUAAAGUUAAUACCUUUGCUCAUUGACGUUACCCGCAGAAGAAGCACCGGCUAACUCCGUGCCAGCAGCCGCGGUAAUACGGAGGGUGCAAGCGUUAAUCGGAAUUACUGGGCGUAAAGCGCACGCAGGCGGUUUGUUAAGUCAGAUGUGAAACCCCCGGGCUCAACCUGGGAACUGCAUCUGAUACUGGCAAGCCUUGAGUCUCGUAGAGGGGGGUAGAAUUCCAGGUGUAGCGGUGAAAUGCGUAGAGAUCUGGAGGAAUACCGGUGGCGAAGGCGGCCCCCCUGGACGAAGACUGACGCUCAGGUGCGAAAGCGUGGGGAGCAAACAGGAUUAGAUACCCUGGUAGUCCACGCCGUAAACGAUGUCGACUUGGAGGUUGUGCCCUUGAGGCGUGGCUUCCGGAGCUAACGCGUUAAGUCGACCGCCUGGGGAGUACGGCCGCAAGGUUAAAACUCAAAUGAAUUGACGGGGGCCCGCACAAGCGGUGGAGCAUGUGGUUUAAUUCGAUGCAACGCGAAGAACCUUACCUGGUCUUGACAUCCACAGAACUUUCCAGAGAUGGAUUGGUGCCUUCGGGAACUGUGAGACAGGUGCUGCAUGGCUGUCGUCAGCUCGUGUUGUGAAAUGUUGGGUUAAGUCCCGCAACGAGCGCAACCCUUAUCCUUUGUUGCCAGCGGUCCGGCCGGGAACUCAAAGGAGACUGCCAGUGAUAAACUGGAGGAAGGUGGGGAUGACGUCAAAUCAUCAUGGCCCUUACGACCAGGGCUACACACGUGCUACAAUGGCGCAUACAAAGAGAAGCGACCUCGCGAGAGCAAGCGGACCUCAUAAAGUGCGUCGUAGUCCGGAUUGGAGUCUGCAACUCGACUCCAUGAAGUCGGAAUCGCUAGUAAUCGUGGAUCAGAAUGCCACGGUGAAUACGUUCCCGGGCCUUGUACACACCGCCCGUCACACCAUGGGAGUGGGUUGCAAAAGAAGUAGGUAGCUUAACCUUCGGGAGGGCGCUUACCAC